Molecule: ribosomal RNA, 253 nt
Filed under: uncultured bacterium
Lineage: Bacteria
Description: partial 16S ribosomal RNA
Rfam family: Bacterial small subunit ribosomal RNA
Source: RNAcentral
UACGUAGGGUGCAAGCGUUAAUCGGAAUUACUGGGCGUAAAGCGUGCGCAGGCGGUUUUGUAAGUCUGUCGUGAAAGCCCCGGGCUCAACCUGGGAAUUGCGAUGGAGACUGCAAGGCUUGAAUCUGGCAGAGGGGGGUAGAAUUCCACGUGUAGCAGUGAAAUGCGUAGAGAUGUGGAGGAACACCGAUGGCGAAGGCAGCCUCCUGGGCCAACACUGACGCUCAUGCACGAAAGCGUGGGGAGCAAACAGG